This 476-nucleotide ribosomal RNA is filed under the name unidentified. RNAcentral's name for it is "Leocrates sp. A ZW-2022 partial large subunit ribosomal RNA". It matches the Rfam family "Bacterial large subunit ribosomal RNA", at positions 1857 to 2597 of the family's 2925-position model. The record is from RNAcentral.
UCCUGCCCGGUGAUUAAUUUUUUAACGGCCGCGGUACCCUGACCGUGCGAAGGUAGCAUAAUCAUUCGCCUUUUAAUUGGAGGCUAGUAUGAAUGGACACACGAGAGAUCAGCUGUCUCUUUCGUGCCCCUGAAAAUUGAAAUGUAAGUGAAGAUGCUUACAUUCGAAUGCAGGACAAAAAGACCCUAUUGAGUUUCACUUCCUCUCUAGUGCACCUUAAAUAAUAUAUAAUUAAGAGCCUAUGGACACGAAGUUUGAUUGGGGCAAUCGGGGACCAAAUCUAUCGUCCCUCUAACCUAACCCCUAACCUAACGACCCACUACCGUGACUAAAAAAAUCAACUACCAUAGGGAUAACAGGCUAAUCUUCCUAGAGAGACCAUAUUGACAGGAAGGGUUGGCACCUCGAUGUUGGCUUAGGGUACCCCUUAAAUGCAGAAGUUUAAAAAGGUGGGUUUGUUCAACCCAUAAUACCCU